Molecule: ribosomal RNA, 185 nt
Filed under: Halobacillus aidingensis
Lineage: Bacteria; Bacillati; Bacillota; Bacilli; Caryophanales; Bacillaceae
Description: partial 23S ribosomal RNA
Rfam family: Bacterial large subunit ribosomal RNA (bases 110-185)
Source: RNAcentral
AAGGGCGUGAACCUUGAAAACUGGAUAAGGAAUCAUUGUUUUCAUCUAACGAUGAGACAAUUGAUGACAAGACAUCUAAUUGAAAUUGUAAACGUCUUUUCACGAAGAUAGUUAAGUGAAUAAGGGCGCACGGUGGAUGCCUUGGUACUAGGAGCCGAUGAAGGACGGGACUAACACCGAUAUGC